RNAcentral lists this ribosomal RNA (999 nucleotides) under Promicromonospora sp. Its description in RNAcentral is "bacterial SSU rRNA". It matches the Rfam family "Bacterial small subunit ribosomal RNA", at positions 86 to 1099 of the family's 1533-position model. The record is from RNAcentral. Lineage: Bacteria; Bacillati; Actinomycetota; Actinomycetes; Micrococcales; Promicromonosporaceae.
GGUGGAUCAGUGGCGAACGGGUGAGUAACACGUGAGCAACCUGCCCCCUACUUCGGGAUAAGCCUUGGAAACGGGGUCUAAUACCGGAUAUGAACGCUUGCCGCAUGGUGGGUGUUGGAAAGUUUUUCGGUGGGGGAUGGGCUCGCGGCCUAUCAGCUUGUUGGUGGGGUAAUGGCCUACCAAGGCGUCGACGGGUAGCCGGCCUGAGAGGGCGACCGGCCACACUGGGACUGAGACACGGCCCAGACUCCUACGGGAGGCAGCAGUGGGGAAUAUUGCACAAUGGGCGAAAGCCUGAUGCAGCGACGCCACGUGAGGGAUGACGGCCUUCGGGUUGUAAACCUCUUUCAGCAGGGAAGAAGCGCAAGUGACGGUACCUGCAGAAGAAGCGCCGGCUAACUACGUGCCAGCAGCCGCGGUAAUACGUAGGGCGCAAGCGUUGUCCGGAAUUAUUGGGCGUAAAGAGCUCGUAGGCGGUCUGUCGCGUCUGGUGUGAAAUCCCAUGGCUCAACUGUGGGCUUGCAUCGGGUACGGGCAGACUAGAGUGCUGUAGGGGAGACUGGAAUUCCUGGUGUAGCGGUGGAAUGCGCAGAUAUCAGGAGGAACACCGAUGGCGAAGGCAGGUCUCUGGGCAGUUACUGACGCUGAGGAGCGAAAGCAUGGGGAGCGAACAGGAUUAGAUACCCUGGUAGUCCAUGCCGUAAACGUUGGGCACUAGGUGUGGGGCCAGUUCCACUGGUUCUGUGCCGCAGCUAACGCAUUAAGUGCCCCGCCUGGGGAGUACGGCCGCAAGGCUAAAACUCAAAGGAAUUGACGGGGGCCCGCACAAGCGGCGGAGCAUGCGGAUUAAUUCGAUGCAACGCGAAGAACCUUACCAAGGCUUGACAUGUACGAGAACGCCCCAGAGAUGGGGUUCUCUUUGGACACUCGUACACAGGUGGUGCAUGGUUGUCGUCAGCUCGUGUCGUGAGAUGUUGGGUUAAGUCCCGCAACGAGCGC